GACGGAGGGUGCUAGCGUUGUUCGGAAUUACUGGGCGUAAAGGGCGCGUAGGCGGUCUCGUCAGUCGGGUGUGAAAGCCCGGGGCUCAACCCCGGAACGGCACCCGAGACGGCGGGACUGGAGACCGGGAGAGGAGGGUGGAAUAGCCAGUGUAGAGGUGAAAUUCGUAGAUAUUGGCUGGAACACCGGUGGCGAAAGCGGCUCUCUGGCCCGGUUCUGACGCUGAGGCGCGAAAGCGUGGGGAG
RNAcentral lists this ribosomal RNA (245 nucleotides) under uncultured bacterium. Its description in RNAcentral is "partial 16S ribosomal RNA". It matches the Rfam family "Bacterial small subunit ribosomal RNA", at positions 524 to 768 of the family's 1533-position model. The record is from RNAcentral.